This 260-nucleotide ribosomal RNA is filed under the name uncultured bacterium. RNAcentral describes it as "partial 16S ribosomal RNA". It matches the Rfam family "Bacterial small subunit ribosomal RNA", at positions 333 to 585 of the family's 1533-position model. The record is from RNAcentral.
GUGGACCUACGGGGCGCAGCAGUAGGGAAUCUUCCACAAUGGGCGAAAGCCUGAUGGAGCAACGCCGCGUGGGUGAAGAAGGUCUUCGGAUCGUAAAACCCUGUUGUUAGAGAAGAAAGUGCGUGAGAGUAACUGUUCACGUUUCGACGGUAUCUAACCAGAAAGCCACGGCUAACUACGUGCCAGCAGCCGCGGUAAUACGUAGGUGGCAAGCGUUAUCCGGAUUUAUUGGGCGUAACGGGAACGCCGGCGGUCUUUUA